Molecule: ribosomal RNA, 512 nt
Filed under: uncultured bacterium
Lineage: Bacteria
Description: bacterial SSU rRNA
Rfam family: Bacterial small subunit ribosomal RNA
Source: RNAcentral
UAGUCCACGCCGUAAACGAUGUCAACUAGCCGUCGGGCUCAAUAUAAGGGUUUGGUGGCGAAGCUAACGCGAUAAGUUGACCGCCUGGGGAGUACGCCGGCAACGGUAAACUCAAAGGAAUUGACGGGGGCCCGCACAAGCGGUGGAGCAUGUGGUUUAAUUCGAUGCAACGCGAAGAACCUUACCUACCCUUGACAUCCUCAGAACUUGUAAGAGAUUACUUGGUGCCUUCGGGAAUUGAGUGACAGGUGCUGCAUGGCUGUCGUCAGCUCGUGUCGUGAGAUGUUGGGUUAAGUCCCGCAACGAGCGCAACCCUUGUUUCCAGUUGCCAGCACAUAAUGGUGGGGACUCUGGAGAGACUGCCGGCGCAAGCCGCGAGGAAGGUGGGGACGACGUCAAAUCAUCAUGGCCUUUAUGCCUGGGGCUACACACGUGCUACAAUGGUAGGUACAGAGGGCAGCGAAGCGGCGACGUGGAGCCAAUCCUUAAAAGCCUAUCCCAGUUCGGAUUGG